RNAcentral lists this ribosomal RNA (2132 nucleotides) under Triticum aestivum (bread wheat). Its description in RNAcentral is "partial small subunit ribosomal RNA". The record is from RNAcentral. Lineage: Eukaryota; Viridiplantae; Streptophyta; Magnoliopsida; Poales; Poaceae.
GUUUUUCCAGUGAUAUUUUCCACUUCUCAUAUUCUUCCGAUCGUCCCUGGUCUUGGGUGUUAUACGGGAGUAUCAGCAGGUAACCUCGGGGACCGGCUCCUCCUUCCAUGUUGGCGGCUCCCUCUUCUAACGGUUUCCUCCAUGGUGUUGGUUUCUGUUUGGUUAGUACAUUAAACACAAUCAAAAAUUCGGUUUUUACAAAACACGCCUAAGGUGAGGUUGUCGAAAAGAAUGUUUGAUACUCUUGCUUCAACGCAGACUUUUUAACAGUUUCUCAGUAUGAGUCGCCUUUAAAAGUAGAGAUAUAUAAAAAGGGGAUACAGUCGGCAAAAGAGUUGGACUUCAACGUGGAAAAAGAAAACCGAACAAGAAGGUAAGUACCCCCUUCACGUUCAAAUUGUAGUAUCUAUACGUGCAUCCUAUUUAAUGUACAGAAGUAAAGUGAAAAAACAAAUGUUCCACUGAUACUAGGUUGUUUAUGUCAUAUAUAAAGAAGGGUUCCAUGAGCUUAACAUUUCUAUGUUCUCUCGAUCAAUAUUUCAUCUGUCUAAGGCGUUUUUUUUUCAAUAUUUUAUCCGUCCCAUUAAUUUAUAUAAAACGUAGAGAGAAGAAAGGGAAAAGGAAAAGAAAAAGAAAGAUCGUAGGCGUUUUUUUAUUUUUUUAUCUUCUCUUGAAAAGAAACACUCUUCUUUUUUCUCUCUCUUCCCUUGACCAGGUGAUUAAUAUACAAGAUGGGUUCAACCGGAGUGCUUACAGCAGUAAUACACCGGUAUCGGUGCGGUACUAGUGGUACACGAGUGAGAGCGUAGACCUCGUUCUUUACAACAGUAGCAGCGUUGUGGUACACAAUCACUGGUCGUUGCAUCAUGCCUGCGUAGGUCCAGGUUUUUCAGAAAUAGCAGCGAGGGCGGUCCUAGCUGGGUUCGUUUUAAUUAGUUGCGCAUACGUACCGCUGCCUCUGCCCGGAGACGCUGGAGGGCCGCCUGACGGACCGGGAGCAGCGGAGGGACUGGAGGGGGCCGCUGCGCACGUCCGACCGCCGGUGGCGGUGGCGCGAGGCCCGCCGGCGGCCGAGGCUGCUCCAGACCCCCUCGAAGGAGGGCCGCCUGACCCGGCUGUAGGAGCGCGCCACACCGUGGCGGCCGGCGGCGCUCCCACUUUGCUUCUUCCUCGAGAAGAGGGCGGAGACGCUGAGGGGGCAGGAAGAGCUGCCGCCGUUCGACCAUUAGAAACGACAACGCGUCUGAAUUAACAAUCAUGGUAAGUAGUUUACUAGCUAGAGCUUACUGUAACCGUACCUAGCUGGCCGGCCCGCUCUUCUCGAAGAGCGACCUGUCCGCAUCGCCGCCGUUCUUCAUGUACUAUGGCCGCUUUCGAGACACAAUACCUACCUCACCCAUGGGGAUGCCUCCGGAGCGGACCAGCGUGACGGUGGGAGUGAGGUCUAAGGCACUCCACCGACAAGAUAGCGUGAACACGACCGACCUGCACAUACCGUAAAACUUGUGGUUUUUGGAGGGCCCGCAGCCAUCUCCGAUACGGCGGAUAGAGCAUAUGUCCCACGUGACCAACGGUCGAGGUUUGUGGCCAGUCUUCGUUUCGGUUCUUCGAUGUCGCAGGAGACGGCGACGGUAGACGUUGGUACUCACGUUGGUAGACCACGGAGUAUUGAUGAGCGCUAGAGGCAAUACCCUGACCCUGACCCUUGAACUACCUAGCAGUAGCAACAGGCGUAAUCAUCGGUACUGGCUCUUCUUAGUUUCAGCCUUCGCUGCCGACUUUGGACUACCGCACUCGCACUCCUCACUGCCUGCCACCCAUCUCGUUCUCUAGUCUUAUGUCAACCUGCUCGUCACAGACCUUCCUUUGCUCUCAUUACACAGGUAACUCAAGUCUCCCAACUGUCCCAGCGUACCCACGGUCUAAUAGUAUCUCCCCUAGCUCCAAUCCGGCUGUCGUUACCUCUCAACUUUCGUACACCUACGACGAAUCUAUCUAUUUAAGUCAUCAUAACACUUCAAACAAACACAGACAUAACGUUAAACGUUGAUACAACAAUUGAACUAUAGAAUUAAUUAAAACACGGAAUACAAGUUGAUCACAAAACUGUUGUUUCUAGGUCUUAUUUCGGG